CAAUUAGUGAUGGGACAAUACAUUCUCAGAAAAAAAAAAUCAGACCUCUUUCAACUCUCUCUCUUUGAACUUUCUUUAAUUUCCACAAUGCUUGCUUGCAGCCUCUCUUACGUAAGACAAAGAUAUCAACAUGCAACUAAAGAUCGGUGCUAUAGCUAGCUGCAUGCAUGUGAUGUGUGAACCAACCAAUUGAUAUCUUUGUCUUAGUUUAGACACUUUGCUAUUUCCAUGUUACAAUUAUUAAACUAUUGCUUAUAUUGUGUGUAACACUAGCGGUG
RNAcentral lists this long non-coding RNA (278 nucleotides) under Medicago truncatula (barrel medic). RNAcentral describes it as "long non-coding RNA (MTRU_LNC002618)". Lineage: Eukaryota; Viridiplantae; Streptophyta; Magnoliopsida; Fabales; Fabaceae. The record is from RNAcentral.